Molecule: long non-coding RNA, 2048 nt
Organism: Dama dama (fallow deer)
Lineage: Eukaryota; Metazoa; Chordata; Mammalia; Artiodactyla; Cervidae
Exons: 2
Source: RefSeq, a predicted model, not a curated record
GGGCCGCACCACCCGGGGCCGCGGGGGACGCGCCCGGGGCCGCCGCCCGCGCCAGGCUCCGCUCCCGGCCUCCGCCCCUUCCUGCGCUCCGCCGGGUCUUUGGUGUUUUCUCUUCUCAGGCCCUCAAGAACCCGAGGUCUGGUAAGUGACUUCACACGCGGGAUGCAAUUCACACCUGGGAUUCUCCUCCCUCCAAAACGAAUGGCACGUUCCAACACCAACCCAUUUCGCCGGGUGUUCUUUUUCUCUUCCUGCUCGAUCAUCUUCUGCUACGUUUUGUAUUUUAAACAACUUUAUUGGACAGGCCCACGGGGCUGGAAGCAAAGUGUGGUAUUGGGGGAAGGGGCCGAAUGCCUUAGGGCAGCUCUGAGGUGCUCUCAGGGAGAAGAGAAGUCGAAAAAUGAAGCUGCGAAAGCGCCCUUGGAAAUCAGCAGUGAACGUCAGGACCUGAGCGCAUUUGGAGCGUCGGUUUGCGGUUGACCAUUUCAUUCAACAAUAACGGCGUGUUUCCUUCCUAGGCGACACUGUCAUCUCCAGGUUAAGCUGCUUGUGACUCAGAUAUGGCCUGAAGAGGACAGAGGACACUUAAAGGGCAGGGCAGCCUUGGCCGGAUUGUUCUUAGAAGUUGAGUUGUUCCACUUAUCUGGAUGAUUCAGGCAAAACAAUCCCGUCUCCAAAAUCACUCAGCUACUUUUUAUGCAAGAAAAGUUUAGUGCAGGCAAAGAGUGUGUCGGUAAAAACACACUUGUCAGGAAGGCUAACCCCUGGUGAUACAGCCUCCAGUGACUGAAUUCACUCUCCCCGAGAUGAUCAAUUCUGUCUUCAGGCAGCAGUAGCCCUUACGAAGAAUAAUUUUGUCCUGAAGGUUCCAUGGAUGGCGUCUCUGGAUGACUUUCACUCACUGGUCCUAGUAGUGGCCAAAGCAUCUCCCCACCGUUUCCACCCACCAUGGCAGCUCGUCAAAUGUCACACUGAAGGACAGAUAUCAUUUGCCACAUUUUAAAUUCUGACCUUCCUUUAGAGUGCCGACCCUGCACUCUCCAGCUCAGGGUCAACUGUUGUCUUAACUGUAAGUUUUUUCCCCUGAAAGCCUGGAUAUUCAUCUGGGGUUACGUCACUGGCUGUCUCUUGAGGUACUGCGAUACAAGACUGAAAGAAGCUGACUCACUCACGCCUCAUCUUCAGUGUGUAUGUGCUCAGCUGGUUCUGACUUUUUGCAGGCCCCUGUUCUGUAGCCAGGGUCCUACUUCCUUGUAAUUUUCCAGGCAGGAACACUGGAGUGGGUUGCCGGUUCCUACUCCGUGUCAUCAUUAGAAGGGACCAUGGAUUACAAACCAGGGAUAAGAAUGUUUGAAAACAACUGGUCUUUGUGUUUCUGUCCUAUUGAUGAGUAAGUAUUCCGUCUACUGAGAAUAUAGAAACAAGUGCCUUACUGAAAUUGGGUACCGGCAUCAGCCACUGGAAUUUGAUAUAAAACAUUUAUCUGGGCUAUGGCUACAGCUUUUACAUGUCAUAAAAUUUUAGACCUAAGAGACAUCUUAGAAACAAUGUAAUCUAACCCACUUAUUUCCCAGAUAGGAAUUCAAGAAAGUUAUUCUGUUUAAGCUACACUUUCAUGCUUUUUUUUUGUUGUUGUUGUUACUCAAUUUUGUGCUUUCUGCUCACCUGAAAAGGAACAGUCAUAUUACUUUCUGGUGAUUGGGGUAAAGAUGAGACAUAAAGUGGUCUAAUUUCCCAUCUUUACAGAUCAUGAGAUCUGAAAAAAUGAAAUGAUUUGUCAGAUUCAGAAGAUUAGUGUGAGGGCCUGACCCUAACUUUCUUCUGGACUUGUGUUCUAGGACACUUUCUAUUGCAAUGGGGUUUUGAUUAAAUUCUUAGGUGAUUAGAAAGCAGUAAUUACCAGUAAUCUAGAAUCUUCCAUUGUAUUUCAGAAAAAGUAACGUGAAAUACUUAAGAAAGUUGUCAGAGGUCUUUGGGCCAACUGUACUUUUAAAAAUACAUUUUGAAAAUUUAAAUAUACAUAAAAAUAAAAAUGAUAGUAUAAUGAA